RNAcentral lists this small nucleolar RNA (99 nucleotides) under Echeneis naucrates (live sharksucker). RNAcentral describes it as "Z30 small nucleolar RNA (ENSENLG00000009416.1)". It matches the Rfam family "Z30 small nucleolar RNA". Rfam says of the family: Z30 belongs to the C/D class of snoRNA which contain the C (UGAUGA) and D (CUGA) box motifs. Most of the members of the box C/D family function in directing site-specific 2'-O-methylation of substrate RNAs. Lineage: Eukaryota; Metazoa; Chordata; Actinopteri; Carangiformes; Echeneidae. The record is from Rfam by way of RNAcentral.
CUGCAGUGAUGAGCUUUGAGGUGACUGACCUGGUAUUGCUUCCUUCUGGGGAAUGCUCUGACCAGGGAAUGAUCUCAACUUAAUCUUCUCUCUGAGCAG